Molecule: ribosomal RNA, 253 nt
Filed under: uncultured bacterium
Lineage: Bacteria
Description: partial 16S ribosomal RNA
Rfam family: Bacterial small subunit ribosomal RNA
Source: RNAcentral
UACGUAGGGUGCAAGCGUUGUCCGGAAUUAUUGGGCGUAAAGAGCUCGUAGGCGGUCUGUUGCGUCGGCUGUGAAAACCCGAGACUCAACCUCGGGCCUGCAGCCGAUACGGGCAGACUAGAGUUCGGCAGGGGAGACUGGAAUUCCUGGUGUAGCGGUGAAAUGCGCAGAUAUCAGGAGGAACACCGGUGGCGAAGGCGGGACUCUGGACCGAUACUGACGCUGAGGAGCGAAAGCGUGGGGAGCGAACAGG